GUUUCUUUGGGGGCAGGAGGGGCAGUGCCCUCCCCCCCUGAUUUUUGGGCUAGAAGCAGGGAUUAUAGUUCAAAAAAAUUUUGUUAUUGGCUGCUCUUUUCAAAUUUGGGCUUUGGCCCCUCCCGAUCCCUCACAGACUCCAAAUCUCCAAUAGUCCAAUAUACGAAUUCUCCAAGCGAUUCUUCAAGAAAUCAAAAUCAUUCAUCCAAUUUCCCAAUUCGCUAAAUCGCUUCUCGCUUUCUGUUGUGACCUUUGUUGCUGUCUCGCAUUGUGUCGCACUGUCGUUGUCUCCGCCUGGUCUCACUCUCGAGUCUGAAGUCUCGCCAUCGGCCAUCGCCAUUCGCCAAGUCUUGAAGUCGCCAUUCACAGAAAAUAGAAAAUCAGAAAUCAGAUAUAAUCAUGGGAAAGAUGAAAGCCUUAGAUUAUUUUUACAAAAGAAAGGUAGAUGAUAAAGAAACGAAUUGAUGAAUAUAAAGACAUUAAAGGUCGUUGUGCUGAGUUGUAAUCAUUUUUCUAUGUGUUUUUGGUGUUUAUUUGUUGAAAACAAUUUGUUUUUUUUUUAAGAAUGUUAAUUUCAGUUUAUAAUAUUUUCGGCCCCCCCAAGUUAGUUGUUCAAGCUCCGCCACUGUACCAUAGGGACCAUUUAUGUACUUUGUUCCAGCCGCAAUGACCAUUUAUGUAACGCCAUAUAUUAUUUAUUAUUAUUAUUAGUUAUUUUAUUUGUA
This is a long non-coding RNA of Lactuca sativa (garden lettuce), 725 nucleotides long. RefSeq lists it as uncharacterized. The record is from RefSeq and is a predicted model, not a curated record. NCBI's taxonomy places the organism in Eukaryota, Viridiplantae, Streptophyta, Magnoliopsida, Asterales, Asteraceae.